GAUGAACGCUGGCGGCGUGCCUAAUACAUGCAAGUCGAACGAACGGGCGAGGAUCUUUCUUCUCUGAGUUUAUCGGCGGACGGGUGGUUAACACGUGGAUAACCUACCUAUAAUACUGGGAUAACUUCGGGAAACCGGGGCUAAUACGGGAGAAUAGUUUGAACCGCAUGGUGCAAAAGUGAAAGACGCUCUUGCUGUCACUUAUAGAUGGGUCCGCGCUGCAUUAGCUAGUUGGUAAGGUAACGGCUUACGAAGGCAACGUUGACUAGCCGCCCUGAGAGGGUGAUCGGCCGCACCGGAGCGGCGACACGGUCCAGACUCCUACGGGAGGCAGCAGUAGGGAAUCUUCCGGAAUGGGCGAAAGACUGACGGAGCAACGCCGCGUGAGUGAUGAUGGUCUUCGGACCGUAAAACUCUGUUAUUAGGGAAGAACAUAUGUGUACGUAACUGUGCACAUCUUGACGGUACCUAAUCAGAAAGCCACGGCUAACUACGUG
This 497-nucleotide ribosomal RNA is filed under the name uncultured bacterium. Its description in RNAcentral is "partial 16S ribosomal RNA". It matches the Rfam family "Bacterial small subunit ribosomal RNA", at positions 28 to 507 of the family's 1533-position model. The record is from RNAcentral.